Molecule: long non-coding RNA, 1213 nt
Organism: Spinacia oleracea (spinach)
Lineage: Eukaryota; Viridiplantae; Streptophyta; Magnoliopsida; Caryophyllales; Amaranthaceae
Exons: 6
Source: RefSeq, a predicted model, not a curated record
AACAACCUUGUUCCAUUGAAAAAAAAAAUUAAACCAAGAGCUUUUCCUUCCUUCUCCUCCUCCGCACUGCCCCUCUAAUCUAGAAACCCUAUUGAGAAAAUAAUCUGCGAUAAUGGCGCCUCAUUAGUUGAAAGAACCUAGAAGCGAGCAUCCAGAGUUCAGCAAGCUACACUCUCGCAGAUCCAAACUGGAAGAACCUUUUCCAGGCCUGUAAUUUUUUUGUUUCAAUCUCUGAUUUUGUGAUGUUUUGUUCAUUUCAUUUGAAUUAACUUCAUGUUGAUUUAGUUGCAAUUGUGUUGCAUUUUUUUCUUAUUUGUUCUGGAUUUCACGGAUUUUAGGGGUUUUUACUUGCACGGUUAUGUUUUGUGAGAUUAGGAUUUUUACGGAUCGUUCUUCGGGAGGAUUUGAGGGGAAUUAGGAUUUCAGAUUGGUUAAAAUUUUUGUGGGUGUAAAGGCAAUCUAGGUAAUAAUCGGAAUAUGAAGCAUUGCGACAUUUGGGUUAACAAUGGGAAGCAGUUCACAAGCUUCUGAUGACAUUUUCAGGAAUUGAAGAGUGAUUAAUUGCAGUGAUUAAUUACAGGAAUUGAAGAGUGAUACACGUAUCAUUCUGUACAAUAGAUGGUUUUGUGUUGAAAGUGGAAGUACUGAUAAUCCUUCAGUCGUGCUCAUUCAUGGUUUCCCAUCACAGGCUUACUCAUAUCGCAAAGUUAUUCCAAUACUUUCCAAGAACUAUCAUGUCAUUGCUUUUGAUUGGUUAGUCUACUAUUUCCAUAUUGCUAUCGGUUCUGCAAAUGCUGGAUUUUGCCGAGCUUGAGUCAAAUGGAAUUGUCUCGUUGAAUUGAAUGAAUUUAUGCUAGGAGGUGUAGCAAGAAAUAUUGCUGAGUGCCUGUUAAAGCUAGGAACAAAAUCAUUCAUGAUCAGUGCUCUGGGAUGUGACCUGCCAGAUUCAAGGAUCACAAGCAUUGCUCAUGGUUGUCCCGGCCUUGAAAUGAUUAGCAUAUCAUACCGAUGAAGAUGCAAGGUUUCAAUGAGGCUAUUUUUGUUUUUAGUGUGAUGCAAAGCAAGAACAAAAAUAAGGCUAUAUGGAGUUGUAUAUAUUUCUUGUAAUUGUACAACUUUUUGAUAUAUAUGUAAAAAUGUUGGAUUUAUGUUCACGAUAGACCAUGAACGUAUUUGUAGAAGAUUUUGGUGAAAUAUUAAUAGUUGGUGCUUU